RNAcentral lists this ribosomal RNA (359 nucleotides) under uncultured bacterium. RNAcentral's name for it is "bacterial SSU rRNA". It matches the Rfam family "Bacterial small subunit ribosomal RNA", at positions 29 to 414 of the family's 1533-position model. The record is from RNAcentral.
AACGAACGCUGGCGGCAUGCCUAACACAUGCAAGUCGAACGAGACCUUCGGGUCUAGUGGCGCACGGGUGCGUAACGCGUGGGAACCUGCCUUUAGGUUCGGAAUAACUCAGAGAAAUUUGAGCUAAUACCGGAUGAUGUCUUCGGACCAAAGAUUUAUUGCCUUUAGAUGGGCCCGCGUAAGAUUAGCUAGUUGGUGGGGUAAAGGCCUACCAAGGCGACGAUCUUUAGCUGGUCUGAGAGGAUGAUCAGCCACACUGGGACUGAGACACGGCCCAGACUCCUACGGGAGGCAGCAGUGGGGAAUAUUGGACAAUGGGCGGAAAGCCUGAUCCAGCAAUGCCGCGUGAGUGAUGAAGG